Molecule: transfer RNA, 76 nt
Filed under: Shewanella putrefaciens
Lineage: Bacteria; Pseudomonadati; Pseudomonadota; Gammaproteobacteria; Alteromonadales; Shewanellaceae
Description: tRNA-Gly
Rfam family: tRNA
About the family: Transfer RNA (tRNA) molecules are approximately 80 nucleotides in length. Their secondary structure includes four short double-helical elements and three loops (D, anti-codon, and T loops). Further hydrogen bonds mediate the characteristic L-shaped molecular structure. tRNAs have two regions of fundamental functional importance: the anti-codon, which is responsible for specific mRNA codon recognition, and the 3' end, to which the tRNAs corresponding amino acid is attached (by aminoacyl-tRNA synthetases). tRNAs cope with the degeneracy of the genetic code in two manners: having more than one tRNA (with a specific anti-codon) for a particular amino acid; and 'wobble' base-pairing, i.e. permitting non-standard base-pairing at the 3rd anti-codon position.
Source: RNAcentral
GCGACAUUAGCUCAGUUGUUAGAGCGAUACCUUGCCAAGGUAUAGGUCAUCGGUUCGAACCCGAUAUGUCGCUCCA